This 486-nucleotide ribosomal RNA is filed under the name uncultured bacterium. RNAcentral describes it as "partial 16S ribosomal RNA". It matches the Rfam family "Bacterial small subunit ribosomal RNA", at positions 30 to 507 of the family's 1533-position model. The record is from RNAcentral.
AUUGAACGCUGGCGGCAUGCCUUACACAUGCAAGUCGAACGGCAGCACAGGUGCUUGCACCUGGUGGCGAGUGGCGAACGGGUGAGUAAUACAUCGGAACAUGUCCUGUAGUGGGGGAUAGCCCGGCGAAAGCCGGAUUAAUACCGCAUACGAUCUACGGAUGAAAGCGGGGGACCUUCGGGCCUCGCGCUAUAGGGUUGGCCGAUGGCUGAUUAGCUAGUUGGUGGGGUAAAGGCCUACCAAGGCGACGAUCAGCAGCUGGUCUGAGAGGACGACCAGCCACACUGGGACUGAGACACGGCCCAGACUCCUACGGGAGGCAGCAGUGGGGAAUUUUGGACAAAGGGCGAAAGCCUGAUCCAGCAAUGCCGCGUGUGUGAAGAAGGCCUUCGGGUUGUAAAGCACUUUUGUCCGGAAAGAAAUCCUUGGCCCUAAUACGGUCGGGGGAUGACGGUACCGGAAGAAUAAGCACCGGCUAACUACGUG